Molecule: non-coding RNA, 45 nt
Organism: Schistosoma haematobium
Lineage: Eukaryota; Metazoa; Platyhelminthes; Trematoda; Strigeidida; Schistosomatidae
Source: Rfam
AUCCAUUUUACGAGUCCUAAAUAGGACGAAAUAUGCGUCCUGGAU